This 71-nucleotide transfer RNA is filed under the name Nomascus leucogenys (northern white-cheeked gibbon). It matches the Rfam family "tRNA". From Rfam's summary of the family: Transfer RNA (tRNA) molecules are approximately 80 nucleotides in length. Their secondary structure includes four short double-helical elements and three loops (D, anti-codon, and T loops). Further hydrogen bonds mediate the characteristic L-shaped molecular structure. tRNAs have two regions of fundamental functional importance: the anti-codon, which is responsible for specific mRNA codon recognition, and the 3' end, to which the tRNAs corresponding amino acid is attached (by aminoacyl-tRNA synthetases). tRNAs cope with the degeneracy of the genetic code in two manners: having more than one tRNA (with a specific anti-codon) for a particular amino acid; and 'wobble' base-pairing, i.e. permitting non-standard base-pairing at the 3rd anti-codon position. The record is from Rfam by way of RNAcentral. Lineage: Eukaryota; Metazoa; Chordata; Mammalia; Primates; Hylobatidae.
GCAUUGAUGGUUCAGUGGUAGAAUUCUCGCCUGCCAGGUGGGAGCCCUGGGUUCGAUUCCUGGCCAAUGCA